AUGGGACAAUUCUGCCUUCCAGGAGUGUUGUGUACCUGUCCUAUUGAUGGGUGGGUGUUAAUAAAAGUAAUCAGAGGUGGAUCUGGUGUUUGGUUUGGCUGUCCAGGGCCUUUCAAAACAUUUCAAAUUUGGUGGACUGGGAAAAAGCUUCAGAUGUUGAAUAUGCCAGCUAAUUAUUGCUUGAAUUUCAGAGGGAGUAUACAAAAGCAGAAUCCAAAAUUAACUUUGGAUAAUUUGAAUUUUUGUAUAAUUUUGUUCGUUAUAUAUACAUGUAUGUGUGUGUGUUGCUGUUUUUCAUUUAAAGAACAUAGUAAAUAACAUUUCAUAUAAAUCAAGCACAAGUAACGCCAAAUAUUUAAAUAAUAAUAAUACAAAAAAAAAAAAAAAAAAACAUUCACAAGACGCCAAAUGCAGAUUUAUUGUAUUUUACAAAAUGCUAGAUUUAUAAUGUAGCUACAUCGAUUCGUUCAAACACUGAUUCAAUCGGGAAUGAAACCAAUGAGGUGCUUUGCGAGUGAAUCACUGAAUCAUUGACUCAACCGAUUCGUUCACAUACACUGAUUCACCCGGGAACCAAACACCAGCGCACUGGCUUUGUUUGGAAUUAUUUUUCUUGGCGGAGCAAAUUUCCAAAAACUAACUGAAACAUUGUGUCAAACAUGUAAGUUACUCUAUAUUAUUUGUUUAUUGCGUUGCUGUAUAAAACAUGGCAUAGUGAUUGCUUCGGUGAUAUUACAAUUGAUAUUUUUUAAGGAGACAUAGCAAUCAUUACUCAAUAUGAAUCUCAUUAAUUUCCUCAGGUAACUUUGGUAUUGUAAAAAUGCCCCAGUAUUUAAUGAUGCAUUCAGUGUAAUGUGUAACUUGCUAGUUUGUAUCAUUGUGCAUGUAGCGGGGCAGUUAGUUUUAGUCUUUAGUCUGCUCUAAUUGAGGUCACUGAUGGAGUGUAUGGGCUCUCUGGCCCUGACACGUGCAAUAGAUGCUUACUCCUGCUUGCCCCGGCCUCUCAGCGCUUUUCUGCCUCUUAUGGGAAUUAAAAACUGCUGGCCUGAGGAAGAGCCAGAGCCAGUCGUGUCAGAGUGGAGAGGACUGUAAGACUGCCUUCAGCUGCUGCACUCCAGCAGGGCCACAGCUGGGCAACCUGGGCCAUUGUGUCGAAGUCAGAACAGGCAGAGAGCAGAUUGUUAUAGCGCCCGAUAGUCAUUUAUUAUGUUAGGCUGAGGAGUCAGCCGUUGUCUUUGGAGUGUUUUCAGUUUUCAUGUGGCCUAGCAAGGAGUUCUUAAUUUAUAAGACCUAGAUUCUAUUUUUCCAAUUGUGCCACAGAUAUAUCAAUAAGAAGAAAUAGGGCAACGAUUUUCAAAAGGCCUUAAGUUUAUUUUCAGACAACGGGCAGCAUAGUGGCAUCGAAUUAAUCAAGUCUGAGGCGCCCUUUUAUAAAUCAUAUCAUAUCUCUAUCCUGUUGGAAACUUGAACUUAGUAACUUUAGCCCAAACUGUGCUCAAUACUCAACAGUCAGUUUAGUCCCUUUAAAAGCAGGUACAUUACAAAAGUCCACAGCGUUUAAUUGCGCUUAUGUGUAUGAAAAAGAUCCAUCAUGCUGAUGACUAGUAUGAAAGGAAAAAAAAAAUAGGAGUGGCUAUUUUUCUCUCUAAUGUAAAACAUCUGGCAGGAUUCAGCGCUUGCAAAAUUAAUGGGCAUUUAAUUGCCAAUAAUCAUUUUUUACCUCAACGAUAUGAAGUAAAUAGUUUUUCUGGAAGAACCAGAUGUUUCAAAUAAGCUGCUGUGAGCUUAACUCUUUGUUUUCUUUUUUAUAAGGUAUCACAGUACAUGUAGCAUAUGUUCUUAUUGUGUUUACUUGGAUAGUGCUUCUGUAUUGCUUUUGUGACGGUUGUAUAUGCAUAUUUGCCAACUAUUUCUACCAUAAAAAAUUAUUGUCAGAUAUUAAAUGUUUAUCUACUUACAUCUUUCCUCAACAUCUUUCAUCAUUAACACCAUAGCUUUGUUCUGGAAUUCACGCUUGGAUUCUGUGAACAGAAAAAAGGUGGACACUUCUUCGAUUUGAUUGACCAUCCCUAUCAUUUUAAAAAAAAUAUAAGCACUGUUAUACUGCUAAGGCUGUCUACUACAAAAAUUUAAUAUUUUAAACUUUUUUCAUCAUAACAACAGACAUAUUGUUGCUUAACGGAGCAGAGUAACAUAACAUCAAGUAUCAAAUAUUGCAAUACAUCCAACCAAAUAAUCCAUUAGUAACUGGAUAGAAUAGAUGGUCCAUUUGCCAUCAUAGGAACACCUCCAUGUAAAGUUGAAAACUCUGCAAUUAACAUGUUUGAACUUGAUCCAAAUGAAAUUUUUUAACAGAUUGAAAGGGAUGGUGUAGACCUGAAAUAAUCCAAUCAAUAGGAUAAAUUAAGCUUGUAAAAAUACUCAAAUUUGACUAUUUUCAAAAAUACCCUGUGCACGUCUUAACGUACAGGGCUGGGUACUAAUUGAUUACAUGUAAUUUACAUGUUUAGAUUAAAAUGGAAAUAAUCAUACUACAGUUACUUUGUAUAGAUUACAUGAUUACAUAUUAUAAUAUGUCAUUAUUCUGUCAUGUUAUGAUUUGCGUUGAUUUGCAUCAACUCACAAACCACUGCAGUUCACUCAUGAACCCCAGUUUGGGAAACUUUGACAUAGUGUAAUGUUUAAUACACUUUAUGAUUUUGAUAACAAAGAAUUAGUGGUUCAACGGAUCACAAAUCUCACGGUUCGGAUCACAUUACAGUUUAUGACCCACAGAUCGGAUCAUUUUUCGGAUCAGCAAGAAAAGAAAAAUAUUUCAAUUUAACUUGCUUUCCAUUUAUUACUUAAAGCGAAGUACUUCUUUGAUCCCAUAGCAAAUACUACUAGAUUAACUAAGAAAGUUUGAACAUGAUUAAUGAGUCAAGAGAACAGCCAGUAAAAAUAAGAACAAAUACACAAAUUACAAGCAUAGAUAAAUACAACACAAUUUGUUACAAAUAAAAUAAAGUUGGUAGUAUUCAAAGGCAGAAAUGUAAUAAAUACGGAAAAUAACACUGCAGAGUGUUCAAUGUAUAAAUUAAAUACAGAUUUUUAUCACAGCUGUUUUGUUGUUUGAUGAUUAUUAAUGACAGCAGCAUUAUUUAUAGGCCGCUGUCCCUUUAAGACCUGAUGCACGGAUCUGAUAUUACGGCUGCGUUUACACUUGGCAUUAACAUGCGACCUGUAUCCGGAUGUUGUCCACAUACACAUUGAAAAGACAAGUGUAAACGCACUUCUGAUUGGAAUGUUAUCCGAUCAGCGUGUCCUGGUCCAGAGGUAGUCGAGGACACAUUGUGAUUGGAUCUCAGUGUGAUGUAAACGCAAUCCAGCCAUUGUGUCUGCAUUUGCAGGUGCAUGUCACGUAAAAUGCCGCCGCACAUUACAAACUACAAUUUCCAACAUGUCAUUUUUAUCAAUAAUAGACUGCAGUAAGUAAUCUAAUAAGUGAUCUAGCCCGCACUGGUUAUAUAAACAGAACUUUUAAACUCUGAAAUUGGAUUGCAAUUAUGUCGAUUGAUGAAAAUUAAAAAAAAAAAAAAAUGUUUAUUGUGGUUAUAGCUCUGCUUCAUGAUCUAACAUGGCAUUUCCAAUAGCUUCAGUCCACAUUUCCAACUUCAGGCCUGAGGUGUCUUGUCCUUAACUGGCUGUUCUGAUCUUCUGCUAAUAGUUUAUAAUGUCAACGCUUUGCCCAAAGACAAUACCGUAAGACUAAAAGUUGAUGCCCCCACCCAGUGAGAGCAUUUUUUCUCCUCUAACUGAACGGGUUUGGUGCCAAACAGAAGAAAGAGAACAAAUCAAAUCCCUCGUUUGAUUACGGUUCACCCAAAGCCAGCCUGACACAAACUCCAUACUGGAGUGAUCAUUUGCAUGAGUUCGUUUGAAUGGCAAAAACCUUCUCUUCCCUCUGAUCCAUCCUCUUUUGCCUGAGCUCUUGAUUAAACUGACUUUGAAAUGUGAAAAUUGUGUGGGCCGCACUAGAACAAUGUCAGAUAGGCCUUGUGGAGGGGUGGAAUGGAUUUAAAGCCAUUGUUCAACCUGACUCUUUUCUCCUGCAUUAAAGACAGGGUUGCGGAGGUUUGUGACAGUCAGACGCCUGCAUGCUUAUCUUCCCCGCAGUAGUGUUUUAAUCUGUUGGGUUAGCGCAUGCCUGUAAACAAAUUUGUCAGUCACACAAUAGCACUGCCACCUUUAGUUCUCAGCGGAUUACGUCGCUUUUAAACAGUCUCAAAAUGAACACCUCCUGCUGCGCACAUCUCCACAAAAGAUUCGAUUAAAUAUCUGUGGAUAAAUAAUUUGUGGAUAUAUAGCGGCUUUUAUCCUAUGUGAUAUUAGCAUGCAAAAGGCGUGUUUGCACACCUUUAGAGGGAAGUCUUUUAUGUGUUAUUGUAAAGGGUUGUAAUUCUUUUGAUAUGGAAUUUAAACAGUAUUUUACACUAAUCCCGAGUUUGGGCUUGGGAAAGCUUUUCACGUAGGUGGUUUUCAAUUAGUUUCACUUAACCUUGUAAAUAUUAUCACAACAUUAAAGGACUAGGCAAGCUUUUGUGGAGAAUGUGGUUUGAUCUCUGCCCCGUUUCAUCUCGGUAUUUACUAAAAUAACGGCAAGGAAAUUUAGGGGGAUGUACAAAUUAUCAAGGGUGGUUAUUUCUCAUUACACAGAUGCUUAAGGGAUUUAAUCAGUGUUUAUGUAGUGUAACUCUUGUGUUGACUGCUAAAUUACACACCAGUUUAUGGGACCAUUUUUAAAUCACAAAUACUAAGAAAACUAAAUUACUUGAAACUACAUAAAAACCUGUUAUUCCAACAGAAUUUACCCAAAUAUUGUCCCAACUAGUCAUACAAAUUAGUUGUUUGUGCAUUUUCAAAUUAAACAAUAUUGCAGAAAUAUAAAGGAUUUGAGUUCCCAGAAUGCAUUGCAGCAUUAAUAAAUUAUACAGUAACAUUAUAGGAAUAUAUAUGUAUGUAUGUAUGUAUGUAUGUCUCUCUCUCUCUCUCUCUCUCUCUCUCUCUCUCUCUCUCUAUAUAUAUAUAUAUAUAUAUAUAUAUUUAUAAUUUUUUUAAUUAAAUUGCUUUGUAAAUUAUAUUUUAAAAUAUCAUUGCUUUGUACGCCUUCAGAUAACA
Cyprinus carpio carpio is the source of this 5157-nucleotide long non-coding RNA. The record is from Ensembl. NCBI's taxonomy places the organism in Eukaryota, Metazoa, Chordata, Actinopteri, Cypriniformes, Cyprinidae.